GAGCCAGACUCCUACGGGAGGCAGCAGUGAGGAAUAUUGGUCAAUGGGCGCGAGCCUGAACCAGCCAAGUAGCGUGAAGGAUGACUGCCCUACGGGUUGUAAACUUCUUUUAUAAAGGAAUAAAGUGAGGCACGUGUGCCUUUUUGUAUGUACUUUAUGAAUAAGGAUCGGCUAACUCCGUGCCAGCAGCCGCGGUAAUACGGAGGAUCCGAGCGUUAUCCGGAUUUAUUAGGUUUAAAGGGAGCGUAGAUGGGUUGUUAAGUCAGUUGUGAAAGUUUGCGGCUCAACCGUAAAAUUGCAAUUGAUACUGGCAGCCUUGAGUACAGUUGAGGUAGGCGGAAUUCGUGGUGUAGCGGUGAAAUGCGUAGAGAUCGGGAGGAACACCAGUGGCGAAGGCGGCCUACUGGGCUUUAACUGACGCUGAGGCACGAAAGCGUGGGUAGCAAACAGGAUUAGAUACCCUAGUAGC
Molecule: ribosomal RNA, 469 nt
Filed under: uncultured bacterium
Lineage: Bacteria
Description: partial 16S ribosomal RNA
Rfam family: Bacterial small subunit ribosomal RNA
Source: RNAcentral